RNAcentral lists this ribosomal RNA (334 nucleotides) under uncultured bacterium. Its description in RNAcentral is "bacterial SSU rRNA". It matches the Rfam family "Bacterial small subunit ribosomal RNA", at positions 28 to 334 of the family's 1533-position model. The record is from RNAcentral.
GACGAACGCUGGCGGCGUGCCUAAUACAUGCAAGUCGAGCGCGGGAAGCAAGUGAUCGCCCUUCGGGGCGUGAACUUGUGGAACGAGCGGCGGACGGGUGAGUAACACGUGGGCAACCUGCCUGUAAGACUGGGAUAACUCGCGGAAACGUGAGCUAAUACCGGAUAAUACCUUUUAUCUCAUGAUGAGAGGUUGAAAGGCGGUCUUUUAGCUGUCACUUACAGAUGGGCCCGCGGCGCAUUAGCUAGUUGGUGAGGUAACGGCUCACCAAGGCAACGAUGCGUAGCCGACCUGAGAGGGUGAUCGGCCACACUGGGACUGAGACACGGCCCAG